GGCUCGAUGGCGUAGUUGGUUAUCGCAUCUGUCUAACAUUUGACCCGGGCUUGAACCUGGGAGAAUGUCUCACAGAAGGUCGCAGUUUCGAGCACUGCUCGAGUCA
RNAcentral lists this transfer RNA (106 nucleotides) under Auricularia subglabra TFB-10046 SS5. Its description in RNAcentral is "tRNA-Val". Lineage: Eukaryota; Fungi; Basidiomycota; Agaricomycetes; Auriculariales; Auriculariaceae. The record is from RNAcentral.